GCCGUUGUAGCUCAGAAGGUAGAGCAUUUCCAUGGUAAGGAAAAGGUCCCAGGUUCAAAUCCUGGCAAUGGCU
This 73-nucleotide transfer RNA is filed under the name Lentilactobacillus buchneri. Its description in RNAcentral is "Lactobacillus buchneri tRNA-Thr". It matches the Rfam family "tRNA". From Rfam's summary of the family: Transfer RNA (tRNA) molecules are approximately 80 nucleotides in length. Their secondary structure includes four short double-helical elements and three loops (D, anti-codon, and T loops). The record is from RNAcentral. Lineage: Bacteria; Bacillati; Bacillota; Bacilli; Lactobacillales; Lactobacillaceae. RNAcentral also lists the same sequence under 11 other names.